GCAUGCUUACACAUGCAAGUCGCACGGCCGGGGGGCGACUUCCGGCAGUGGCGGACGGGUGAGUAACGCGUAGGGAUUUAUCCAUGGGUGGGGGACAACCGCGGGAAACUGCGGCUAAUACCGCAUGACACCUGAGGGUCAAAGGCUUUGGGGCAACCUGGGGUCGCCUGUGGAGGAGCCUGCGUCCGAUUAGCUUGUUGGUGGGGUAAAGGCCUACCAAGGCGAUGAUCGGUAGCUGGUCUGAGAGGAUGAUCAGCCACACUGGGACUGAGACACGGCCCAGACUCCUACGGGAGGCAGCAGUGGGGAAUAUUGGACAAUGGGCGCAAGCCUGAUCCAGCAAUGCCGCGUGGGUGAAGAAGGUUUUCGGAUUGUAAAGCCCUUUCGGCGGGGACGAUGAUGACGGUACCUGCAGAAGAAGCUCCGGCUAACUUCGUGCCAGCAGCCGCGGUAAUACGAAGGGGGCUAGCGUUGCUCGGAAUGACUGGGCGUAAAGGGCGCGUAGGCGGCCUGGACAGUCGGGUGUGAAAUUCCUGGGCUCAACCUGGGGGCUGCAUUCGAGACGUUUGGGCUGGAGUGGGGAAGAGGGUCGUGGAAUUCCCAGUGUAGAGGUGAAAUUCGUAGAUAUUGGGAAGAACACCGGU
RNAcentral lists this ribosomal RNA (644 nucleotides) under uncultured bacterium. RNAcentral's name for it is "bacterial SSU rRNA". It matches the Rfam family "Bacterial small subunit ribosomal RNA", at positions 42 to 713 of the family's 1533-position model. The record is from RNAcentral.